AAAUAGAAAUAAGAAUUUCUUUUUGUGACAUGGGAUUUUUUUAAGUUAAAAUGUGAAAACUUUUGUCUUUCUUUUCUUUCUUUUUUUUUUUAAUAACAGAAGCCCUUACAACAACUGACUAUUACUCCACCAUAACACCAGCUGGAGAAACUAUUGUAUGCAACGUAACACGUGCCUGUAAUUAUUCAGUGUUCUAUGUGGGCAAGGUAAAACUUCGGGCAAAUGAAGAAAGUAAUGCAUCACUAAAUGUAGAAAUAAUUAAUAACAUAACCACCCACAAUCAAAUCAAAAAAUCAAUUGGAAUUCCAGCACAUAUCCCACAAGAACUGAGGUAAGUAAUUCUGAAUAAGAAUUGAAAUCUUUUUUAUAUUUGAAAAAGAUGAAGUGAGACCUUCCAUGUGUUG
RNAcentral lists this long non-coding RNA (404 nucleotides) under Chloebia gouldiae (Gouldian finch). Its description in RNAcentral is "Erythrura gouldiae (Gouldian finch) lncRNA (ENSEGOG00005007331.1)". The record is from RNAcentral. Lineage: Eukaryota; Metazoa; Chordata; Aves; Passeriformes; Passeridae.